UCGGUGGCCGAGCAGCAGGCUGUGUGCGUGGACGACGCUGCUGCUGGCCUGUGGGGGUGUCAGGGCCGCCCGGGAGGCCCUCAGCCCCCCAGGGCUCCCAGCUCCCACGCGCAGGUGGCCCCAUCCCUGCCCUGUUCUCUUUCCUCUCCAUGGCCUCCCUUUGCUGGGCCAAGACCUUGACCUUGGCUGGGGGUGUCCCACCUGCCCCCUUAUCCGGCCUCUCUUCCCCUGAAAUCUCCCGUCCAAGGGCAGAGCUCACUCUGAGCAAAAAUGUGGGUGUGGGUGUUCAAUCUCUCCUCAAGGCUUGUAGGCAGGUGGGCAAGAUUCCCACUUAGCCAGCCGCCCACCCUCCUCCACCCCGGGCUCAGAACCCACCCGGCUCCUUCUGGGGAGCUGCCCAUGAUCCCGGAAGGGCAGGCGUAGGCAGGCCCGCGUCCUGACGCCAGCUCCCGCCCUGCGGGCCCUGCAGCCUGGGGUGCCGGCUCUGUGGGUCCUGACACUGCACCGCUCACGCAGGGCGGUGUCCGCGGCAGGGUCCCCCUCCUGUAGGGUCUCUGUUGCUGCAGGUGCCUGUCCAGGCUGCGAGCCUGGGGGACCCGGGGUGCUGGGUGGAGCCAGACACACGGGAAGGGGGCCCCAUGUGGGCACCGGCUGGAGGCCAAGGGCAGGGCGCCUGGGUCCCCUCCGCCUCUGGGAAGACGCACCGUGGUUGGAGACGCACUGAGAUGGCUGGAGGGGUGACGUCAGCCGUUCGCAGGAGGAAAAGCCUCACGCUUGCCAGAAGGUCUGUGAGGCAAGCAUGGAAAUGCUCACUUCUUCCAAAAGACUGUGUCGGGGGAUCCCUGCUCCUGCACUGGAGAUCAUGGCCACUCCGAGGUCCACGGGUUCACAGGAACAGGUUUGCACGGCCGGUACUCUGGCGGCCAGGCCUCCAGUGGCCCUGGGCUGAGAGGAGAGGAGGAGGACCUCUUGAGGCCAGGCGCUGUGCGGGGCGGGAGCAGCCGUGGGAGCACACGGCUCGGCCGCGGAGGGGGGCGGUGCUGCGAGGCGACUCUGCGGUGGGCGGGGCCUGGGCCGGCGGCGGCUGGGAGCUGGGGGUGAGCGUGGACGUGGAGAGCCGGACCGAGACCCCAGAGCCCUCUGGCCGGAAAGGGCAGUUCUCACAAGCCCUGACUCUGAAACUUCCCAGCAGUUCCUUGUGGUUUUGGCCGCCUUUGCCUCAGCAAACCCGAGCAGCAGACGCCAGGAGGCGGAGGCCCCGCCCCCGCCCGGUCGGCCUGCUGGUCUCCCCCGCCCAGGGCUGUCCAGCUGCCGGCGUGCGGUCCUGUUUCCCAGAAUGAGGUCAGCAAGAGACGGUCCUGCUGUUUCCAACCUUGGACUCACAGCCCUCGCCUGGUCUGUGGGUUCUUUUCUCUGCUGCAAGUGUUAGGAUGCUGCUAUAUUUAGGGAAGAAAUUGCUUCCUAAAGAUGGAUAAUGACAGGAAAUUAUACCUUGUUGAUUCUGCGUCUUUUUUUUUUUAAUUCUUAAGUGCGUCUUUCAUGAAGCAACGGAAAAUAAAAAGAUUUAUGAAAGCCGUUUUCUAGAAUGAAAGCAUUGUGU
Molecule: long non-coding RNA, 1600 nt
Organism: Capra hircus (goat)
Lineage: Eukaryota; Metazoa; Chordata; Mammalia; Artiodactyla; Bovidae
Exons: 4
Source: RefSeq, a predicted model, not a curated record